CUGAGUUCAAGGUACAGGUGUGAAUGCUCAUGUAUACAACGAGAUCCCCCAGAUUAUCUCUGAUAUUGUGGAAAAAACUUGCAUAUUUCAGCUCAAGUUAGUCAAGUUCAAUUUCACAUCCAAGCACUAGACCUUCACCAUACCCCGUAUCAUCAGUGAGAAUCAGCAUCCACCAUUCCCAGACUUUGUUAUACAUGAAGAUGGUCAGGAACCUAGUGAUGAUGUGCCUAUGGAGAAACUGGUAGCAUCUAAUGGCUUUCUUGGUGCUGAUAACACUUUGGCAGAGGUAGCAAGUGGUGUGCGAGCAGAAGGUGGUGAAACUACAACUGCCAACCAUCAGCCAUCCUCAUCUAUUGUUGCAGGAUUAGUUCGCUCUGCAUCUACCAUUCCCAAUUCCCAUACUUGACCCACAUGAGAAUCGAAAAAGAAGUCCCGCAUGGCAUAGCUAUAGUUGCCGAAGCAAUAUCCCCACUUACUAUACUUACUAAACAAAACUCUCUUUGUGACAAAAAAAAAAAACAAAACUCUCUAUUUUAUUGUUACAUUAAUGUCGUUGUGGCUGUUUGAACUAUUUCUGCAAGUUUUAUUAUAACAAGGCUUCGUUUUAUUUUAACACAUUUGCACUUAUAUGAACUUGCAUGCUUUCCAAGUUAUAUAUUUUUGUGAAACAUGUACCAAUGUAAUGUCGUACCUAUAUAUCAAAAACUAUUGAUAAAGAAUAAAAAUACAUUGGUGAGUGGUAACGGUGCAUUCUUCAGACUUUAAUAAUUCUCCAAAAUAUAUAAAAUAGCAUAAUAUAUAAACAAUGUUAGUAAAAAAAGAAAAAAAAAUAUAAACAAAUGAUGAGAUUGGUCAAAACAUUUUUUGAAAACAAUAUAUUUAAUUGUUUUUCCUCAUUUGGUAAAUUUGCCUUUGCCAGAACAAAAUUUUCUCACGCAGUUACAAAAGAAAAAGGAAGAUUUUUUCUCACCUAUAAAAUAUUAAUAACUCUUUCAUUAUAUGGUGUCAUAUUGUGAAUAUAUUUUAAGGUUUCACGGCCAGACUGAGUUCCACAACCACAAAUGCAUAUGUUUAAAAAAAUUGGAGUCGUCAAAGCAUUAACUCAAUUUAAUAGUUAACAGGUUACACACGUUUAAAUUCAGAUUAGUUUUCUAUAUACUGUUCACAUAGUACUUUAACAUUAUAAGUAUGUUCUUUAAACAAAACAUCAACUUUAUUUUAUGUUUAAAUUCUAACUAAAUUAACUUUGUUACGAUUAUUUACUUUUUAUUAUACUUUUAUUGAAUCGAUUAAUCACAAUCACUUAUGCUAUUCUAUUUUACACCAAGCAACUUCAAAACAAAGCAAUACAUUACAGUCACUAAUCAUUAUCAAAUGGAUCGGAAAAAUAUCAUUCUCUUUUAACAUAUUUUCAUUUAUAUAUUUUUAAACAUAUUUUCUUCACUAAAACCAUAAGAUGAAUUGUAAAUUUAUUUCAGAAUAAAAUAUACGAACUCAGCGCGUAGCACCGAAAUACCACUAGUAGUUAUAUAUAAAAGAGAAAAUUCUCUUCUCUUAUGCUGCCACAUCUUCACGAAAUAUGAGCAAAAGAGGACACCUAUCCAAUUCUAUAUAUCUGAAGAAAAGACGAAACUUUCGUUUACUUCUUUACGACCUUUUACUAACCUGGUUUUAUAGGGUCUGUAUGCCUAAAGCCCAUAUAAAUAAUCUGGCCAUUCUUUCUAGACCUAAUGUUGUCUAGCAGGAAAAAAAAAUCACACGGACGAUUGAAAGUAACGUUUUUCUUUAGCAUUCAAGAGUCUCAUAUAAUGAUCGCGAUAACAACUACUAAACCACUCUCUCCACUCCUUCGAAUUGAUUUUAUCGUACAUCUUUCCAUGGUAACGUCUGAAACCUAGGGUUAUUAAAGCCCAAUACGAUGAAGCAACCAAGGUUCGAGUCCCGACCACUAAAGAAUUAACAUUUCGGCAUCACCAAAUACAUGAGACCGACACGUGGAAACACAUGAUUAGUCUGGACCACUUCUAUGAGGUCGGAAUAUUUUUGUAUAAUUCAAAAAAAGAAGAAAAAAAAGAUAGAUAGAUUAUAGAGUUUAAUUACUGAAAUCACUAAAAUAAAGAUGUAAAAUUUUUAUAUUGGUUUACCAUUGACAACGUACAGAUUUAGUCAAAGAAACGGCAUACAGUCGUCGGUUUAAAAUCUCAGUAGAAAGACAUCAACGUGCAAUGGUGUUCACUAGUAUACAGAAAUUAUUAAAAACAUAUUUUUAAAUACAUGCAUUAAUAAGAUACAUUCUAACGGUUUCUGCAUAUAUCGAAUUCCUGUUUUAAGGCUUGAGACCAAGAGUGAGCUCAAGGGACGAUUCUUCUUCACCUUUGGAAGCCUUUGUUGAUUUUACUGACACAGUAACAACAUUACCAUCAUCUCCAAUAUCACAAACAAUUUUACCAUUGUCAUCAUCAGCUUUACUUUUACUAACUCGGACCUGUUAAAGCAAAAGUAUAUAACUAAUUAUUUCUAAACUAACAUCUCUGUUUUUGCAAGCUGAGAUGGACACAUGCCGGUUAAGAUGAUAUCAAAAUCCUUUUCAUGUUUUCAUCGUUAUAAAUAUCAUUAUUUAUAUUAUUAAAAUAGAAGUACAAAUAGAAAUCUCCUUAAUUGUACUACUUAUUUACAUUAGAAUCCCACUGAGAUAUUUAUUGAACAUAUAUCUAAGCAUGCUUGUCUUUUCCUAAUUUGAACAAUAGAUUUAAUUCUCCAAUAUUUUUCAUAAUUUAAAUAAUAGAUUUUUUAAUCGAAUUUUAACCAAAAUAGAUUUCUCAGUAGAUUUCCCUAUUUAUUUUGUAUUAACAUAUUAAAUAUUUUUUAAAUAUUUUAGUAAUAAAUAAUAAUGUAAAAACCACACAUCAUAAUCAAUUUAUAUAAUAUAUAAAUAAAAAUAUAAAAUAAACUAUUCAUACAUUAUUGGUAUAAUGUUUUCAUAUAUAUAAGUCCAAUUAUUUAAAAAUAUUGUAUUUACUUAUAUGGUACACUGUGAUCUAAUUGACGAUUAAAAUCACAAAAAUUUAUAUUAUUAAAAUACAAGUACAAAAUAGAAAUCCCCUUAGUUUUACUACUUAUUUACACUAGAAUGCCAUUGAGAUAUUUAUUGAACAUAUAUCUAAGUAUGCUUAUCUUUUCCUAAUUUAAACAAUAGAUUUAAUCCUCCAAUAUUUUCUUAAUUUAAAUAAUAUAUUUCAAAUCAAAUUUUAUUCAAAAAAGAUUUCCCUAAAUAUUUUGUACUAAUAUAAUAAAUAUUUUUCAAUAUUUAUUAGUAAUAAAUAAUAAAGUAAAAACCACACAUCAUAAUCAAUUUAUAUAAUAUAUAAAUAAAAAUAAAGUAUUCAUAAUUUAUUGGUAUAGUGUUUUCAUAUAUAUAAAUCCAAUUAGUUAAAAAUAUUGUAUUACACUGUGAUAUAAUUGAUGAUUAAAAUCCCAAAAAUAUAAUUAUUCAAAGUAAAAAAAAAUUUAUGUUUUAAUGUAAUAUAAAAUUUUUGUUAAUACAUUUAAAGCCAACGGGUCACAAGCUCUAGAAAUAUAUUCAAACUAAUAAAUAAAAUUAUUAUGUUUUAAAAUGUUAUAUAAAAUUUUUUUUAAUAAAAUUUGUUAAUAUAUUAUACCAUUUAGUAUAAAAAAGUUUUGAAGUAAAAAAAAAUAUUCAGACGGUCACGGCCUGGUUCUAGAAAUAAAAAAUAAUAGUGCAUGAUAAUUUUCUUGAACAAAUUUAUUUUAAUAGAAAUUAUCAUUACAAAUAUUUUUAUAUAUUUUUGGAUUUAUAAAAUUUAUUUCACUUAUUUGUCAGGGGUGCUAAACUUUUUGGAAUUAGAAAUAAUUAUGACUCACCCCUAUACUAUUUUAUUUUUUGUUAUAACUGCAUAGUUUAGAUUUUGAUCUAAAUUUAUAAACCGAAGGUGUAACUUUAUUUUGUGAUAUACGUGUGUGUCUGUGAAAAUAAUUCAAAAUAUAUACUACAAAACUUUAUUGAGUUAGAGUAAACAAAUAUAUGAUUUUAAAAAUCAUGAAGUUAUCUGCAAAGAUGGUGGUAGAAGAAAAAGUAGAAAACCAUACAUGUUGACUAUAACAUUAUUUUGUUUGAAAAUAUGGUUAAUGUUAAGAAUAUUUACUAUUAAAAUGUAGAAAUAAGAUUUUUACUAUAUAGAAAUGAAAUCAAACAUCCGCGCGGGAUUUAGCUUCUAAUUAAUAAUCUACUGAAAUUAAAUUUCAUAUAUACGCUUCACUUUUAACUACAUGUUUAUACUAGACUUACAAGCUGCAUAAGCAUUAUAUUGUUAUCAACUCACAAAAUAUUUAACAAAAAUAAAUAACUAUUCACUAAAUACAAUUGAUAAAAAAAACAAAAUUAUAAAAACAGGGUAGACAAAUUUCGAUAAACCAUAUAUAAUGAGCAAUACACUUGGAAAUAAUAUAUGGCAUGUUGAACUUAUAUAUAAAUAUGUAUAUCAUUCAAGUUUAUAUAUAUAUUUUUCAACUGUAUAUGUUAGUGUAUAAUAUAUAUCAUUUAUGAUAGUGUAAGAAAUGUAUAGUGAGAUAAAUUUUACUAGUGAUGACUAAAAGAACAAUCUGGUAGUAUAUAUCAAUGAUUUCUUUUCUUUCGAUAAACCAUAUAUAUAGUGACAGAAAAUUCAUCGAAAAUUUACCCUUGAAGACUCAUAGAGAGACGUGCAAGUAAAAUAGUCACUUGGUACGUCCUUAAUUCCAUUACUUGAUUCUCCAAAUGUUAUUAUGUUUUCAUACAUUUCGUCUUCUCGCCUACAAUAAAUUCAUAUAAAAAAUGUAUACAUAUAUAGUUGUGGUUCACAUUUAAACCAAGAAGUGUUGACAAAAAAAAACCCCAGAUGUAUAUUAAUAAACUUUUCAAUUAAUAUAUAACUAGACGAUACCUUAGUUGAUUUUGGAAAAGGUUGGCAUUGCCUCGGAGACGUUGAUAAUUAUGAAGGUACUGUUGAAACUGCCACCAAGUCACUUCUCCUGUCACUCUAACACUUCUCUUUGCUAAUAUCUCGUCUGCCAAAUAUUGCAUGUGUAUAUGCAAGCAUUAUGUUUUUUUCUUUUGAAAAUGCAAGCAUUAUGUUGAACAUCAAUGUACGGUCCUACCGUCCUAAACAAAUACAUACAAUACGUACAUCAUCCUAUAAUGUUAAAUUGAAAUGUAAUUUUUACCUUGCAUGGAUUCUUCCAACUUCAUGCUCCUAUACAUCUGUUGGAGAGUAACUAAGAGAUAUGGUUAUCCAAACUAAAAUCUAUUAACUAUGGUUUUACAAAAAAAAAAAUCUAUAAAGUAAGAUGCUGUUCAUAAAUACACGUAUAAUGAUAUAGGUAGGUUAUCUAUAAGUAGCUAUAUGUAUACAAAUUUUAGGACCUGGAGAUGACUCUUCACAUGAGAUAUUGUGAGUCCUCUUACAUCCAUUAACUGUAAAACCAUCUUAGGAGUUGCUCCUGCAUUUUUCAGAAAAAUAUGAAAUUCAGACGCAUGUGACAACCCAGGAUAAUAAAUUUGUAAAUAUCUUGAUUUUGAGUGAAACGAAAUAGAAAAGGGUCUUGACUGCCAGAAGCCAAAGAAAUAACCUCAAAAGGAAUACAAUUUCCAUGAUUGAUAAACUUUACUUAAAAAAAUGUUUUUCUUUUAAGUACUAGAACUAGAACAAAUGUUGUUGACAGAAUUUGAGAAAUUCUUCAUUCUUGAGAUAAUUAGUAACUAUAAUUUUAGAAGAGAAAGAAAACUGCUUACUAUGUUCUCCACCUAGUUGUUCAACGGCUUGAACAAAAGAGUUGUGAAGAUCAGAAUUCCAUCGCAGCCGCGGCACUUUUGACCUAACAUAUGAUCUAACGAUAGGGGUCUUCAUCGUUUCUUUUCCUAAUAAGCUUACAAUUUGUUCGAAAACUCUCGGUCGAUUCAAUAUGGUUGCAGCAAAUCAGAAAGGGGCGAAGGCAACUGCUAGAAAAUUCUCUAUUUUCAGAUAGGCAAAUUUUGUAUGUUGGACUAGUUGUCUUCGUAACCCCUGUCUUAUUUUUUACUUUCUCAUUUUUCUUAGUGGGGAAAAACGGGAAAUGUAGACCUUAAAAAGGAGAUUAAAUUAUUUUAAAUUUGUUGUUGUGAUUUGUCAUGUUGCGGUGCUUUUCGUCAAUAUAUUUUCCGUUUCUGUGAAUUCCUUUGUAUAUCCGAGAGAAAGAAUUACUCGACACCUCAAGUCUUGUUUCUUGUGACAAUAUGUAUGAGAACUUCGUCUAAAACACUCAAACCAUAAACCAGUACUUCUUAUUAUUUUUUUAAACAAUGGUAGAAGCCAAAAAGAAAGUCAGGUUAAUUAAAUGACGUAAAACUCAUGUAGCAUAUAUAAUUAUUUUGAGCCAAAUGAUUUAGAUAAUCAAAUAGUAUUCUAAAAAACAAAAUAAGUCAUAUAAUAUAGUGAAUUAUCAAAAGUUUAUAAAAAUAAAGAAUGACGGUAUUUCAGGGUUUUGCAUCAAUUCCUUGACUAUUUUUAUUGUCUUUGAUAUCAUGACAAAAUGUUGGUCAGAAGACUCCACUUGAUCAAUAUUCAUCUUCUCGUCAAGAAUAUAUAUAAGAAAACUAAAUGGUUUAAAUUCGCAUUAAACAUAAUGACGAACAUGCUAACUAAGACAAAUGAUCUACUACUUAACUAAAACAAAAGUUAGUUUUAAAUAAAGAACGAUAUCUAAAUAUCAUGGAGAAAUUGCUUGAAAUACCAUAAUUUGACUACAAUUUUUCAAAUAUUUUGUAAGUUAUUUUUAAAUAUUAUAUAAAUUAUUUAGGAGGAUUAUCAUAAACAUAAGUUAUUUAGAAAAAUGGUUAUCUUUAAACAUUAAUUUGAUAUUAAAUUUGUGGUAAAAUUAAAAUUCCAUCAUUAUUAUGUACUAGUUAGAAAUAUAAAUUUAGAAUAUUUUCAAUAAAUCUAAAAUGUUUAAAAUUACUGCAGCGGAGUUAAAAGAGUAAUAUAUAUGGAUUAUCUAGAUUUCCAUUAUAUUUAUAUUUACAAUAAUAAAAUAGUUCUAAGAGCUAUGCUAAAUAGCCAAAGAAAGAGACUUAGGAUAUGACUAGUGAAAACACAUAGGUUGCGGGAGUUUAUGGAUGCUUGUAGUUUUGAAUGUUACUAAGUGAUUUGUAUGAUUAGUACAUCGGUUAGAAAUUAGUACGUUCAAUAACGAUUUAUAAAUAAAUUAACAAUAUUAAUAUUUUAUAUAAUUAUAAUAUAUGAAAAUGAUAUUACUAUACUAAACAUAAAGUUAAUAUUAUAUUUUAAAUUUUGUUUUUGGGUUUAUAUAUAUCUAUAUAUUAAUGUUAAAAAUAUAGUAAAUAUGAUGUUUCAAAGUUUUAUAUAAAUUUAAAUAUAAUACAUAUAUUAGUAUUUAUAUUAUCUCACUUUUAAACAAUUAACUAAAUAUUAUUAUUUUUAUAUUUAUAGUUUUAAACUAAAUAUAUUUGUAUUUAAUUUCCUACAACCAUCACAACCGCAACUGCUAGUCGAAAUUUAUUUUUUGAUUUUGAAAAUUUUAGAACAAUAUAAAACAGAUUACAGAGUUUUUUUGUAAUUGUUAUAUAACACCAAAAAUCAUUAUCAUCCGCAAACGCAAGUGCAUUAAUGAAAUCAUUAUUUAUACUAAAACAGGGAGAACAUAAAGAAAUAUUGUACAAGAAAACAGAAAUUUCAAUACCAAGAAUAAUCAUAAAUGGUAAUUAAGAUGCUAUAUAGGUACAACAAAAGUUCAUACACAAGAAAACAGAAAUUAAUAACAAUUUCAAUUUAAUAUUAUUGUUUGUGUAACUGACGCGACUUGGUCCUUCUAAUUCUCUCCAAAAUGACAAAGAGUAACAUCGUAACUCGGGAAUAUACUUAUUCAAAGCAGAUUCAAAGCGAUGUGUUUAAAAUUGCCACUACGUUGUGUCCAAUGAUCACUAUUCAAAAUUGUUUCAAUUUUUUAACCACGUGAACACGAAUUCAUCCAAUAUAUAUAGAGAGGGUCAGAGAUGUGGUUUCAGAAAAUAACCCUAGUUACUAAUCUUGUUAUUAAUUAAUGUUUUAAAACAUACGAUCUACGGCGUUCAAUAUGACGUUGUAUUAAAAUAGUGUAAUGCAUGUAUAUAGGUUCACGGAAUGUACGAAGCUGAAUAAAAAGAAUACAAAAUCAAAGAUAAUAACGCUCUAGGGUUUUCUACAGCGACUGGAAUGGUGAUUCUUUAGAUCAAAAUUUCUUUGAAAUUUUGAUCUCCUCCAGAUCAAUACGCUCCUUGGUGUAUUGGUUCAUUACAUUCAUUGGUGUAUUACGGUUGUUGUUGCUUGUAGACGACCAGUUCAUCAUUUUGUUCUGGUUACGUUUUCGGUUGAUUUUGCUGGAUCUCCUGAUUCUCAUCGAAUCUACUUGUUUUAAUUGAUCUAUCGAAGGUAUCACUACCUCGAAGGUUUCAUCAGGCCUACCCUAUCAAUCAGGUUCUCUGACCUAGCUAUGCUCGACAGAAGUGAGAUUGAAGAUGGCGGCCUCUGAUAUAAACGUUUUUUGGCGUUAGAUUUCACCUUUUGGCUGCAGCAGAUCAUCGUUUCUAUCUAGUUAUCUUGUCUUCAUCAUCACGACACCGCAAUCUCGAGUUUUCUUCACUAAUUUAGUCGAACAUACAACUACUGGAUCUUUCCAUAAGACUCUUACGUACGUAGAUUUGUGAAACCUUAUCCUCGUAUGGGUCCAUCAAACCGUGUUAGAUCUGCUCAUAUGGAAGAUACAAAAGGGAAAGGUAUUAUUUAUGAGGAUGACGAUGAGCCUAUUAUGUUGGAGGAACAAGAUGAUUCUCAUACAAUCCGAAAGUUUCGUAUGUCUCUCAUUGGAAAAGUUCUCAAUCCUAAAAAUCAGAAUGUUGAGAAACUGUUACAAUUUAUGCCCACUCAAUGGAAAAUGGAAGAUUGUAUCACUGCAAAUUAUCUUGGUAAUGGGAAGUUUUUGUUUAAUUUCUCAUCAGAGGAUGACAUUCAAGAAGUUCUAAGGCAAGGUCCUUUCACUAUAACGUUUGUAUGUUUGGCUUGGUGCGAUGGGAACCCAUUGUGCAUGAUGACUAUCCUUGGAUCAUCCCAUUUUGGGUGGAGAUCACCGGCAUACCUCUUCAUCUAUGGACUGUGAAGAACAUUGGUGGGAGACUUGGUCACAUUGAUACUAUGGAGUUAUCUGCGGGUAGGCUGCUAAUAGAUGUUGAUUAAAGAAAGCCUCUUGUGUUUGCAAGAAAGGUACAAUCCACAAGCGAAGAUGAAGUGACAAGCAAGAUAAAGUAUGAAUUGUUGUUCAGGCAUUGUAACUACUGCGGUCUGAUGACUCAUGAGGAGUCAUAUUGCUCCAAGAAAUUAGAAGAGACAAAAUCUCAGCUGGCUAAGACUGAUCUCUUUUCUCGUGUACAACUCCCUCAGUAUAAUAGUAUUCCUCAGAAAUUGUUGUCGGAUCAUAAUGGGCGACGUGAUACGAUCGUUAUGACAAGAGAUAUAAUGAUCAGAGCUCUCAACUGAACCACAGUGAAGCUAUUCCGUUCAAUGCACAAUGUACAGACCAUCAUAGGUACGUCUGAGAUGAUAGACAUGGCUUCACUAAUAAGGAUGGAGGUGGAGAAAACAUCGAUAUGGAGACAAGUAUGGUGCGGUGAGGACAUUUACUGCACGGUAUAGAGAUCUUAUGCUCCAUAUGAGCAUAAGAAAUAUCAAAAAUGGCGAGAAAAGUAGCACCGAGCUGAGGAAGCUGGUAGGUUUAAACCACAAAAGCCGUUUCUCAUUUCAGAGGGUUCGUCUAGCAAUGUAUCCCUAAGGAUUAAUGAUACUUUAUGGGAGAAACCCAACGAUGUGGGAUAUGGAGAAUAGCACCAUAGUUACUCCUUCUCGUAUUGAUCUUCAUAACGAGGAGAACGUAAUGAUAUGUGGUCGUGAAGUUGUAAAGGCGAUAACUUUCUCUCCUAUGGAGGAAGAGAAUCAUGAGAAUUUUAAUAAUGAAGACCAAAUGAUUAAUGCGCUUCAGGAUAUGGAUAUUUUUGGAUCUUCUAGUAUUGCGUUCGCUGAUCAUGAUUCGAGGAUGGUAUGUGAUGAUGAAGGUAAUGAUUUACUUGGAGAAGAUCUUAAGUAGAUGGAGAUAAAUGCUGUGAGUUCGAAGAGUUCUGGUUCAAAGGUGGGUCGCAAACCUAGAGGUCAGUCGUCAAGCCGAAGUGGAACACAAUUGGGUGUAUGUGCUGGUGCGCCUUUCAUAUUGCAGAUCAAAAAGGCCGCGUUCCUGCGUAGAGGCUCACCAAGAACACGCCAAUCGCUCCAGCGAAUUUUCCUUCAUAUGAGGUAAGUAAAAGCCAGUGGCAUCGACACAUAGGUACGAGUAAAGCAAGCAACUGUUCUCUCAAAGAUAAUGGUUUGGAUGGGUCCAAAAACCCUCUCAAAAAUCAUAUAUGAGGACAAUCAGUUGGAACUGUCGAGGGAUUGUGAACAACCUCACAGUUUGAUGCCUUACAAAGAUGUGUCAGAAGCAUCACCCAUGACUUGUGUUCCUUUAUGAGAAGAAGAACAUGAGCUUGCUGUUGCAAAACAUUCAUGCUGACUUAGGUUUGAUCAUUUGUUUAUCGUUGAGCCACUUGGUCUGAGCGGAGGUUUAGUUUUUUUUCUAUGGAUGAAUUUCAUGUUAAUGUUUUAUUUCCGAAUAACAUAAUGAUUGACAUUGAGGCAGUCUUUGAUGGAAUAAAAGUUAUAUGACGUUUGUUUAUGGACACCUUGUACUAGAAAGAAGAGAACAAGUUUCAGAACGUCUUACACAUUUCGCAACAACAAAAAAUGGACCUUGGUUUAUGAUAGGAGAUUUUAAUGAAAUCACUGGCCAUAAUGAAAAUAAAGGAGGAAGACAACGUUCAGACAGCUUACUUUUACUUUUUAGGCAGAUGUUAAGCGAUUGUGGGAUGUUGAAAUUCCCAUUUACGGUGAACAUGUUAUCAUGGGUAGGAAAGAGAGCAGGAAGAACAACUGUUAGAUGUCGCCUAGACAGAGCUAUUGGAAAUGAAGACUGGCAUGA
Molecule: long non-coding RNA, 11088 nt
Organism: Brassica rapa (field mustard)
Lineage: Eukaryota; Viridiplantae; Streptophyta; Magnoliopsida; Brassicales; Brassicaceae
Source: RefSeq, a predicted model, not a curated record